This 253-nucleotide ribosomal RNA is filed under the name uncultured bacterium. RNAcentral describes it as "partial 16S ribosomal RNA". It matches the Rfam family "Bacterial small subunit ribosomal RNA", at positions 524 to 776 of the family's 1533-position model. The record is from RNAcentral.
UACGAAGGUGGCAAGCGUUGUUCGGAUUUACUGGGCGUACAGGGAGCGUAGGCGGUUGGGUAAGCCCUCCGUGAAAUCUCCGGGGCUAACCCGGAAAGGGCGGAUGGGACUGCUCGGCUAGAGGAUGGGAUAUGAGCGCGGAAUUCCCGGUGUAGCGGUGAAAUGCGUAGAGAUCGUGAGGAAGGCCGGUGGCGAAGGCGGCGCUCUGGAUCAUUUCUGACGCUGAGGCUCGAAAGCGUGGGGAGCAAACAUG